This 328-nucleotide ribosomal RNA is filed under the name uncultured eukaryote. RNAcentral's name for it is "partial 18S ribosomal RNA". It matches the Rfam family "Eukaryotic small subunit ribosomal RNA", at positions 1470 to 1796 of the family's 1831-position model. The record is from RNAcentral.
CCCUUAGAUGUCCGGGGCUGCACGCGCGCUACACUGAAGGAAUCAGCGUGCUAAAACCAUUGUCGAAAGGCAUUGGUAAACCCAUUAAAAUCCUACGUGAUUGGGAUCGGGAAUUGCAAUUAUUUCCCUUGAACGAGGAAUUCCCAGUAAGUGUGGGUCAUAAGCUCGCGUUGAUUACGUCCCUGUCCUUUGUACACACCGCCCGUCGCUGCCCGGGACUGAGCCGUUUCGAGAAAAGCGGGGACUGCUGCUGUCGGGGCUUUCGGGCCUUGGCUUCGGUGGAAACCGCUUUAAUCGCAGUGGCUUGAACCGGGCAAAANUCGUANCA